Molecule: non-coding RNA, 121 nt
Organism: Picea glauca (white spruce)
Lineage: Eukaryota; Viridiplantae; Streptophyta; Pinopsida; Pinales; Pinaceae
Source: Rfam
ACAUGCCUACAACAUAGUGUUAAUGAACCAGAUCCCAUUAGAACUUUGCAGUCAAGCAUGCUCAAGCUAGAGUAGUACUGGGAUGGGUGAUCGCCUAGGAAGUCCUAGUGUUUUACAUGCC